RNAcentral lists this ribosomal RNA (119 nucleotides) under Paramormyrops kingsleyae. The record is from RNAcentral. Lineage: Eukaryota; Metazoa; Chordata; Actinopteri; Osteoglossiformes; Mormyridae.
GCUUACGGCCAUACCGUUCCGGCGGCGACCGAUCUCGUCUGAUCUCAGAAGCUAAGCGGGGCCAGGUUUGGUUAGUAAUUGGUUGGGAGACUGCCUGGAAAUACCAAGUGCUGUAAGCU